GUGGCUCCCGCCCCCAGACUGCUUCUUUAUUCAUUCCUAACCUUUACCUUGGCAGAUGAAAUAUAAGAUUCAUCAACCACAUUUGACAGCCCAUGGCAGGUUUCCUGUUUUCCAUCGUCCCUCUGCAGGUCACAGACACACAGAGCCCAGCCGUGGCAGGCUCAGCCAGGGUCCGGGGCUGCUAACAACGGCUACGUUCCUCCCCCAGCCAAGGGAAAUCCUGAGCGCAGGCCAGGGUUGUUUGGUUUUGAGGUGUGCUGGGAUGAAAGGCACCCCGGAAGUGGAAGUGACUGCCACAAAGGCAUCAGAUAUUCACCACCUUCUCGGCUGCCUCAGCACAGCAAGCUUUAUUCUGGGACCCGAGAUCCUGUUCUGAGCUGGCUUUCCCUUCUCCAGGCUCGCUCACCCUCCCUUUAGAGGUGGGGCUUAUUAGGGGUGGAAAAAGGUAAAUGAACAAUGGAAAAACUUCACGGCAAGAUUAGAAAGAUACCUGAGCCUAAUACCCGCCUGAUGUCGUGGGCCACACCUCCGGGUUACCAGGGGAAGGGAGGAAGCAAACUGUCAUAU
This 567-nucleotide small RNA is filed under the name Pan troglodytes (chimpanzee). Its description in RNAcentral is "processed transcript". Lineage: Eukaryota; Metazoa; Chordata; Mammalia; Primates; Hominidae. The record is from RNAcentral.